Molecule: non-coding RNA, 23 nt
Filed under: Cricetulus griseus (Chinese hamster)
Lineage: Eukaryota; Metazoa; Chordata; Mammalia; Rodentia; Cricetidae
Source: RNAcentral
GAGGAGUGGUUGUGGGUUAUUAG